This 1363-nucleotide ribosomal RNA is filed under the name uncultured bacterium. Its description in RNAcentral is "bacterial SSU rRNA". It matches the Rfam family "Bacterial small subunit ribosomal RNA". The record is from RNAcentral.
GGCGUGCUUAAGGUAUGCAAGUCGAAUGCCGAUUUAUCGGCAUGGCAGACGGGUGAGUAACGCGUGGGAACCAACCUCUGACACGGGAAUAACCCCGCGAAAGCGGGGCUAAUACCCGAUAGUCUCCCGAUUUAUCGGGAGUAAAGUUACGGCGGUCAGAGACGGGCCCGCGUCCCAUCAGCUAGUUGGUAGGGUAAUGGCUUACCAAGGCGAUGACGGGUAGGGGGUGUGAGAACUUGUCCCCCCACAAUGGCACUGAAAUACGGGCCAUACUCCUACGGGAGGCAGCAAUCGGGAAUAUUGCGCAAUGGACGCAAGUCUGACGCAGCGACGCCGCGUGGAGGAUGAAGGCUUUCGAGUUGUAAACUCCUGUUAAACAGUCACGGCAAACUACGUGCCAGCAGCAGCGGUCAAACGUAGGUGGCAAGCGUUGCCCGGUAUUAUUGGGCGUAAAGCGUACGUAGGCGUUUCUUAAAGUUUCAAGUGAAAUCCCUCUGCUCAACGGAGGAAGUGCUUGAAAUACUUGAGAAAUCGAGGUAGGUAGAGGAAAGCGGAAUUCCGGGAGGAGGGGUGAAAUCCUAUGAUCCCCGGGAGAACACCAAAGGCGAAGGCAGCUUUCUGGGCUUUACCUGACGCUGAGGUACGAAAGCGUGGGUAGCGAAACGGAUUAGAUACCCGUGUAGUCCACGCCCUAAACGAUGCCCGCUAAAUAUUGGACCCGAUGUUACAUCGGGUUCAGUGUUGCAGCUAACGCAUUAAGCGGGCCGCCUGGGAAUUACGGUCGCAAGGCUAAAACUCAAAGGAAUUGGCGGGGACCCGCACAAGCGGUGGAGCGUGUGGUUUAAUUCGAUGAUAACCGAAGAACCUUACCAGGGCUUGACAUGCCCGUCGUACUCUGAUGAAAGUCAGGGGUCAGUUCGGCUGGACGGUGCACAGGUGUUGCAUGGCUGUCGUCAGCUCGAGUCGUGAGAUGUAUGGUUAAGUCCCAUAUCGAGCGCAACCCCUGCGCUGUGUUAGAAUCUCGACUUGUCGAGAUGAUGUCACAGGGGACUGCCUCGGAAACGGGGAGGAAGGUGGGGACGACGUCAAGUCAGUAUUGCCCUUAUGUCCUGGGCUACACACGCGCUACAAUGGUCGGUACAAUGGGUUGCCAACCCGUAAGGGGGAGCUAAUCCCUAAAGCCGGUCUCAGUUCGGAUUGGGGUCUGAAACUCGACCCCAUGAAGUCGGAAUCGCUAGUAAUCGCCGGUCAGCUAUACGGCGGUGAAUACGUUCUCGGGUCUCGCACACACCGCCCGUCAAUUGGGGAAAGUUGGGAAUGCCCGAAUUCCGAGUUUAUCUCGGGGGAAGGCAGGCUCAGCGAU